Molecule: unclassified non-coding RNA, 336 nt
Filed under: soil metagenome
Description: partial contains 5.8S ribosomal RNA, internal transcribed spacer 2, and large subunit ribosomal RNA
Rfam family: 5.8S ribosomal RNA (bases 1-120)
Source: RNAcentral
GAUGAAGAACGUAGCGAAAUGCGAUAAGUAAUGUGAAUUGCAGAAUUCAGUGAAUCAUCGAAUCUUUGAACGCACAUUGCGCCCGCCAGUAUUCUGGCGGGCAUGCCUGUUCGAGCGUCAUUUCAACCAUCAAGCCCCAGGCUUGUGUUGGGGACCUGCGGCUGCCGCAGUCCCUGAAAACCAGUGGCGGGCUCGCUGUCACACCGGGCGUAGUAGAUUUUAUCUCGCUCAGGGCGUGCUGCGGGUUCCGGCCGUUAAAAAGCCUUUUUUACCCAAGGUUGACCUCGGAUCAGGUAGGAAGACCCGCUGAACUUAAGCAUAUCAAUAAGCGGAGGA